UUGGGAUAACUUCAGGAAACUGGGGCUAAUACCGGAUAGGAGCUCCUGCUGCAUGGUGGGGGUUGGAAAGUUUCGGCGGUUGGGGAUGGACUCGCGGCUUAUCAGCUUGUUGGUGGGGUAGUGGCUUACCAAGGCUUUGACGGGUAGCCGGCCUGAGAGGGUGACCGGCCACAUUGGGACUGAGGUACGGCCCAG
Molecule: ribosomal RNA, 195 nt
Filed under: uncultured Actinomycetales bacterium
Lineage: Bacteria; Bacillati; Actinomycetota; Actinomycetes; Actinomycetales
Description: partial 16S ribosomal RNA
Rfam family: Bacterial small subunit ribosomal RNA
Source: RNAcentral